UACGUAGGUCGCAAGCGUUGUCCGGAUUUACUGGGCGUAAAGAGCGCGCAGGCGGCUGGUCAAGUCCGAUGUGAAAUCUCCCGGCUCAACUGGGAAACUGCAUCGGAAACUGAUCGGCUUGAAGAUGGGAGAGGGUAGUGGAAUUCCCGGUGUAGUGGUGAAAUGCGUAGUUAUCGGGAGGAACACCAGUGGCGAAGGCGACUACCUGGCCCAUUCUUGACGCUGAGGCGCGAAAGCUAGGGGAGCGAACGGG
RNAcentral lists this ribosomal RNA (253 nucleotides) under uncultured bacterium. RNAcentral's name for it is "partial 16S ribosomal RNA". It matches the Rfam family "Bacterial small subunit ribosomal RNA", at positions 524 to 776 of the family's 1533-position model. The record is from RNAcentral.